RNAcentral lists this long non-coding RNA (2191 nucleotides) under Gossypium barbadense (sea-island cotton). Its description in RNAcentral is "long non-coding RNA (GBAR_LNC006042)". The record is from RNAcentral. Lineage: Eukaryota; Viridiplantae; Streptophyta; Magnoliopsida; Malvales; Malvaceae.
UUUUUUUGGAGAUUCAUGGUUGUUCCUUUCAAUAAUGUUGUCUCCAGGAGUUUAGACCCAAGUUCACUCCAUCCUUGGAGCAUCUCAUUCUGAAGUCUCAUAAUGAUAAACAUAGCGGUAAGUGCCUUCGUUUCAACACUUUAACACUGUUUUCUCUCGGGAAAUUUAACUCCGUUUGAAGAUGAGGGAUUCAUGGAUUUCAUACCCGAUGAAUGUAAUCAUCUUGAGUUGGUGUUAUGCUUGUGACUGAACUAAGUGAGUAAUUAUAGCUGAAACCUUGUUUUAAAGCAUGUAUGAUUGCUUGAGCAUUGGUUAUUGAUGUUGAACUUUUUAGGUUUACCAGGCAAUGUGUAGAACUGAAGUGAAGAUCAAUCAGUGAAACGGUAAUAGGUUAAUUCUACAUCGAAUAACAUGACCCCCAAUCUUGUAUCUUCUUGUUUUGGAAGUGUUGACGAAAGACGUUUGGCAUCUCGUUUAGUAUAUCGUUUAUUAUUGGUCAACAUAAAACCUAAAAAUGUCACUGUUUUCCAAGAAUGCGCUUGUAUUGGAUUGGUAUUGGAGCUCUAUUAGAAAUUUUUUUCUCAUUUCACAUGUGGGGGUUGGCCUGCAUGCCGUAUCGCUCUUGCAUUCGAUGUGCAUGUUUGUUUGCCCUUCAUAGGGUGAUAGCAAUAUGUAUAUAUUAGCCUCUUUUUUAUAGCAAUAUGUAUAUGUUAGCCUUUUUGAGCUCUAAAUAUACUAUAUGCCAUGCUUGAACUGUCGAUGAGUUAGCCUUCCAUAUGUUAAGAGUUUCUGCAUUCGAUAGAUUCAGUUAUUGGUUUUGGCAGUUUUCUUUUUAAGUUCUUGUAUAGCAAUGUGCAUGCUUGUAACAGAGAUGAAUGAUAAUCUAGGACUCCUUCCAAGGUGUCGGGACCACCACUAAAUCCCCCAUCCAACCCUUUCGGGAAUGCAUUUUACAGUGUUGGUUCUGGACUGAGUCGAGGAGGAUUAGGUUGGUUGCUAACCAUUCUAUCAAAUAUCUUUCUUGUGCAUCAUUUUAGCAAAUGCAUUACAAUUCUAAUAUUUUACUUGCUUCAUAUAGGCAAACACGAGUGUAGCGAUUUACAAUUUCUUUUUCCUUUAAAUCCUAACAAUACCAAUUUAGCGAUUCGGAUAGCUCAACAAAAUUCUGAGGUAAAACUAUUGAAGUAAUCUCCCGAGUAGUUGGUCUGCUUCAAUUAACAGAUAAGCAAGUACUUCUCUGAUCCUCAGUAUUACUUCCAAGUGAUCGAUCAUGCAUGUAUGCAUGUAUGUGGAUCAUUUUAUUGUUUUGUUGCAUCUUUAGGGGCAUUGACAAUUACUGAGCCAGUUGGAGGGCAGCACUCCUAUAAACCUCCCAUUUAUGGCAUUUGCUACGAACUCAUUAGGUCCAUCAGGGAAGUAAGUUCGAAUAGUUGUAAUGCUUUAAAAGCUUCAAAUUUGAUCUUUGCAUAAACAUCUUCGACUCUCUAGUUCGUGCCAGGCUCAGUCCAGAGGGGCCGGUUUCUCCAAGUAGUGCUGCUGUAAAGGUAUCAUUGGUUUCAUUAGGGGAAGGAGAUGCCCCAUUGCUUGAGUAAUUGCAUAUGCCGAAUAUUCUUUCGCCGGAUCGUAUUACUUCGUAGUUCUGUGGAUUUGUUUGUGCAUAGGCACCUUCUAAUAGCAGGAGAUUUAUUUAUUAACCCCAAAUUUAAUUUUUCCUUGUCUCAAUCCAAUCUUUUGUGCUUGGAAAUUUUGAUUAAUUAUCUUAUUUUAAUUGUGUUUUACACUUUGUUUCUUUGUUUUGAAAUAAACAAUGAACCCUAAUUUGCUGCAUAAUUAUUUGUUACUUGAAUAAGUGAACAAGAAUGAAGAUAACAAGUUUAUGCAAAUUGCAUUUGUUUGAGUAGCUUAGCAAAUAUUGAGAAAGGAAAUGCUUUGACUGCAAUUAAUGGUAUGCAGAUGUGUGUAACUUUCUAGUGUUUGAUUAAUAUGUAUUUUUAUUAAAAAUAUUUAACUCAAGUACAUGAUUUUUUAUUUUGGUUAUGGGUAUUUUUAAGGAAAAUUUUACAUUAAUAUUCUGUCAAGAAUAUUUAAUGAUGUUAAUUAUUUGUACUAUUAUAAAAAUAGAAAGAUUAAAUUAAAUUACCUCUCAGGAUUAAAUUUUAAAUUUGAGUAAUUUGAGUAUAGUAAAAGGACU